GCCGAGGUCGCUUAGCCUGGUAGAGCGCACGCCUGGAAAGCGUGUGGGGUAACCCACGGGAGUUCAAAUCUCUCCCUCGGCGCCA
This 85-nucleotide transfer RNA is filed under the name archaeon. Its description in RNAcentral is "tRNA-Ser". It matches the Rfam family "tRNA". From Rfam's summary of the family: Transfer RNA (tRNA) molecules are approximately 80 nucleotides in length. RNAcentral also lists the same sequence under 1 other name. The record is from RNAcentral.